CGGAUAAAAUUAUAUCGUGGGCCGCAUCUGGCCCGCGGGCCGUAGUUUGGAGACCUGCUCUACAGACAGACAAAGAUAAUCACAGUUUGUGGAUCAGUGCAUCCUCUGUCUAUCUCAAGUAUCCAAAUGCAAACAUUGUUUCUAAUUGUUAUUGGCAGAAACUUUUUGUCAGAAGUCUACAGCAUUUUUUGAGGCUCGUCAUGAGCUCAAGAUCAUGAUAGCCUAAACAUUGUGUAGAAGAACACAGUUUAUAUCCAGAUAUCAAACACACACACCAAACAGUAAUGUCUCCCCCUUUGUCGUUCUUCUUCAAGCCGUUACCAAACUUUAUUUAAUUUUCGUGCCUUCUCCUCCACACGCUCGCGUCUCUCUUCCUCUACACUCAGCCAUCCUACAUGAGCACCUGGCGCUGUGACCCUUAUUGGUCACUGGCAGAGGGUGCUCCCUCUACGGUGACCAAUAAGGGCUAUCUGGGCUGUCUUCUGUCUCGUCGCCAUUGUCAAAGAAUUCCCAUCUUUUCAGUUGGUUGCUCAGCACUGUUACCACAUAUCUUGGAGGGUCCUCCAAGCUGGAGAUUUCAUACAGAUCAGACGAGAGCUGGCGAGAAAUCUGAAAUGGUCCCUUAUAUAGGAUACUGAGCUUGU
RNAcentral lists this long non-coding RNA (644 nucleotides) under Androctonus crassicauda. Lineage: Eukaryota; Metazoa; Arthropoda; Arachnida; Scorpiones; Buthidae. The record is from RNAcentral.